AGGACGAACGCUGGCGGCGUGCCUAACACAUGCAAGUCGAGCGGAAAGGCUCCUUCGGGAGUACUCGAGCGGCGAACGGGUGAGUAACACGUGGGUAAUCUGCCCAGGACACAGGAAUAACCAGUGGAAACGCUGGCUAAUGCCUGAUGAAGUGCCGGCCCUGCGGGGCUUGGUACCAAAGGUAGCUUCGGCCUCCGGUCUUGGAUGAGCCCGCGGCCCAUUAGCUUGUUGGCGGGGUAAAAGCCCACCAAGGCAACGAUCAGUAGCUGUUCUGAGAGGAUGAUCAGCCACACUGGGACUGAGACACGGCCCAGACUCCUACGGGAGGCAGCAGUGGGGAAUAUUGGACAAUGGGGCAACCCUGAUCCAGCAAUACCGCGUGUGUGAAGAAGGCCUUCGGGUUGUAAAGCACUUUAGGUCGGGGAAGAAGAGUUACCAUUUUAAGAGAUAGGUAAUUUGACGGUACCCGCAGAAUAAGCACCGGCUAACUCUGUGCCAGCAGCCGA
This 506-nucleotide ribosomal RNA is filed under the name uncultured bacterium. RNAcentral describes it as "SSU rRNA". It matches the Rfam family "Bacterial small subunit ribosomal RNA", at positions 26 to 518 of the family's 1533-position model. The record is from RNAcentral.